AAGAAGAACUCCAUAAUAUGCUUUACUUCUCAGAGAUCCAUAAUAUGCUUUACUUCUCAGAGAUAAUCUGCAACAGAGUUUCGAAAUGUUUAGCGGCAACACCAUCUGGUCCAGCUGCCUUUUCCAAAACUUGUUUGAGGGCAGUAGCUGCUUGUCUGAUCUCCUUCCCUUUGUCCUGUUGGAAAAUCAUGUCCAAACACUUGAGCAUUCCAGACUUAGUGAUUACUCUAUUCUCGAAUCUCACUCCAAUCCCCCACACCUCCUCCACCAUCUUCGCAUUCAAAUGAUUGUCUGCCCACACUGACCUGCAUAUCAUUGGCACUCCACACAGGAUGCUGUCUAAAACAGAACCGUAGCCGCUGUGAGUCACAUGUACACCAAUUGAAGGAUGUCCCAGUACUUUCCUCUGGGAUGCCCAUGGAACCACCUUUCCGCGGGUUCGAGUCCUCUCAAUAAAUCCAUCAGGCAGAUACUCCUUGAACUUGUCCUUGAGAGACCAAAGAAAUGGAACACCCCUGUCUUCAAGCGCUUCAGCUAAU
Molecule: unclassified non-coding RNA, 539 nt
Filed under: Hevea brasiliensis (rubber tree)
Lineage: Eukaryota; Viridiplantae; Streptophyta; Magnoliopsida; Malpighiales; Euphorbiaceae
Source: RNAcentral